GAUGAAGAACGUAGCGAAAUGCGAUACUUGGUGUGAAUUGCAGAAUCCCGUGAACCAUCGAGUCUUUGAACGCAAGUUGCGCCCGAAGCCAUUAGGCCGAGGGCACGCCUGCCUGGGCGUCACACGUCGUUGCCCCCCCAUCUACUCCUUCGGGAUUGCGGGGGGCGGAUGAUGGCCUCCCGUGCGCCUCGCCGCGCGGUUGGCAUAAAUGCCAAGUCCUCGGCGACGCACGCCACGACAAUCGGUGGUUGCGAAACCUCGGUUGCCCGUCGUGUGCGGUCGUCGCGCAUCGAGGGCUCGAAAAAAUUGCCGGGUUCCGGCUCGGCUUUCAACGCGACCCCAGGUCAGGCGGGGUUACCCGCUGAAUUUAAGCAUAUCAAUAACGGAGGA
Molecule: unclassified non-coding RNA, 390 nt
Filed under: soil metagenome
Description: partial contains 5.8S ribosomal RNA, internal transcribed spacer 2, and large subunit ribosomal RNA
Rfam family: 5.8S ribosomal RNA (bases 1-122)
Source: RNAcentral